GAUGAACGCUGGCGGCGUGCCUAAUACAUGCAAGUCGAGCGAACAGACGAGGAGCUUGCUCCUCUGACGUUAGCGGCGGACGGGUGAGUAACACGUGGAUAACCUACCUAUAAGACUGGGAUAACUUCGGGAAACCGGAGCUAAUACCGGAUAAUAUAUUGAACCGCAUGGUUCAAUAGUGAAAGACGGUUUUGCUGUCACUUAUAGAUGGAUCCGCGCCGCAUUAGCUAGUUGGUAAGGUAACGGCUUACCAAGGCAACGAUGCGUAACCGACCGGAGGGGGGGAGCGGCCACACUGGAACAGGAACACGGGCCAGACCCCUAAGGGAAGCAACAGGAGGGAAUCUUCCGCAAUGGGGGGAAGCCUGGCGGAACAACCGCGGGGGGGGUGAGGAAGGCCUCGGGUCGGAAAACCCUUUUAUUAGGGAAGAACAAAUGUGUAAGUAACUAUGCACGUCUUGACGGUACCUAAUCAGAAAGCCACGGCUAACUACGUG
This 497-nucleotide ribosomal RNA is filed under the name uncultured bacterium. RNAcentral describes it as "partial 16S ribosomal RNA". It matches the Rfam family "Bacterial small subunit ribosomal RNA", at positions 28 to 507 of the family's 1533-position model. The record is from RNAcentral.